This 436-nucleotide ribosomal RNA is filed under the name uncultured Rhodocyclaceae bacterium. RNAcentral's name for it is "bacterial SSU rRNA". It matches the Rfam family "Bacterial small subunit ribosomal RNA", at positions 948 to 1382 of the family's 1533-position model. Lineage: Bacteria; Pseudomonadati; Pseudomonadota; Betaproteobacteria; Rhodocyclales; Rhodocyclaceae. The record is from RNAcentral.
AAUUCGAUGCAACGCGAAAACCUUACCUACCUUGACAUGUCCGGAAUCCCGAAGAGAUUUGGGAGUGCUCGCAAGAGAACCGGAACACAGGUGCUGCAUGGCUGUCAUCAGCUCGUGUCGUGAGAUGUUGGGUUAAGUCCCGCAACGAGCGCAACCCUUGUCAUUAGUUGCCAUCAUUUGGUUGGGCACUCUAAUGAGACUGCCGGUGACAAACCGGAGGGAAAGGUGGGGAUGACGUCAAGUCCUCAUGGCCCUUAUGGGUAGGGCUUCACACGUCAUACAAUGGUCGGUACAGAGGGUUGCCAACCCGCGAGGGGGAGCUAAUCCCACAAAGCCGAUCGUAGUCCGGAUCGCAGUCUGCAACUCGACUGCGUGAAGUCGGAAUCGCUAGUAAUCGCAGAUCAGCAACGCUGCGGUGAAUACGUUCCCGGGCCUU